UUGGAUGGAAAAGCAAUAAAAGUAGAAUAAGCCAAGAAACCAUUUUCAAAGUGGUGGUUAGCAGAUACCACCACCUUCUUCAAGAAACAGAAGCCCUUCAGGAAGUCUGAGAUCUGCAAGAGGAAGUAGUGGAGGAACAGGAGGGUGUCUGCCCUCACAUGAAGGGCACUUGGAGAGAGAAUUAUGGAGGUCCUCCACUCGAGAAGCCAAUCACUUCAUGGAGAAAUGACCAUAUGUUGUCAAGAGAUGGUGGUUAUGGAA
RNAcentral lists this long non-coding RNA (261 nucleotides) under Homo sapiens (human). Its description in RNAcentral is "non-protein coding lnc-TSPY10-7:1". Lineage: Eukaryota; Metazoa; Chordata; Mammalia; Primates; Hominidae. The record is from RNAcentral.